Molecule: ribosomal RNA, 164 nt
Filed under: Ptilostemon greuteri
Lineage: Eukaryota; Viridiplantae; Streptophyta; Magnoliopsida; Asterales; Asteraceae
Description: 5.8S ribosomal RNA
Rfam family: 5.8S ribosomal RNA
About the family: 5.8S ribosomal RNA (5.8S rRNA) is a component of the large subunit of the eukaryotic ribosome. It is transcribed by RNA polymerase I as part of the 45S precursor that also contains 18S and 28S rRNA.
Source: RNAcentral
UGAACGACUCUCGGCAACGGAUAUCUCGGCUCACGCAUCGAUGAAGAACGUAGCAAAAUGCGAUACUUGGUGUGAAUUGCAGAAUCCCGUGAACCAUCGAGUUUUUGAACGCAAGUUGCGCCCAAAGCCAUUUGGCCGAGGGCACGUCUGCCUGGGCGUCACGC